AGAAUCUGUUUAGUCCCACUGCCUCUUUCAACCAGUGAGCAUAGCUAAAGGAAGUUAAUUAAAGAACUUUGAUCCUGAGUGCAUAGGUCAGUUUGCCAAAGUGAUUUUCACUGAACAGCUGUUUCACUGAACUAAAGUUGUACUUUAGAACUAAAACAGUAGUUUCACUGAACUAAAACUGAAUAGUUGCUACUUCUGUGGGUGAAAUGUUACUUUGAUACAAGUAUAGCAACAGAGGAAGGGAAUUUUAGAUUAACUACUGUGCUUCAGUUUCUCAGUAGCUGAAGGCCACGCUUAUAGUCAAGGCAUCGAGAUAGGACCAAGUCAGGCUGUACUCUCUUUGACAGAACUGUUUUAAAUGCAUGGGAAUUACUGACAGAGGGAGCACAGGAGACUGAAACUUCAAAGGGUACUCACAUGUGCGUGCCUGCGUGCUCAGCCACUUCAGUCGUGUCUGACUGUUUGCAACCCUAUGGAACAUAGCCUGCCAGGCUCCUCUGUCCACGGGAUUCUCCAGACAAGCAUGCUGGAGCGGGUUGCCGUUCUAUUCUCAAGGGGUCUUCCCAACUCACUAUAUAGGUUUGUACCAUCCUUCCAGCCUUAUUUUCCACUUGUGAUGUGGUAAAAAGAGAUCCGAACUGUGAGACAGGGGACUGCAUUUAAAUCUGAGUGUUUUGUGGCAGAUUCAUUUCGAUAUUUGGCAAAACUAAUACAAUAUUGUAAAGUUUAAAAAUAAAAUAAAAAAAAUAAAUCUGAGUGUUGCUACU
Molecule: long non-coding RNA, 767 nt
Filed under: Bos indicus x Bos taurus (hybrid cattle)
Lineage: Eukaryota; Metazoa; Chordata; Mammalia; Artiodactyla; Bovidae
Description: lncRNA (ENSBIXG00005007619.1)
Source: RNAcentral